UGUGGUGGAGCUCUUGCCUUGAAUGCAUGAGGUCCUGGGUUCGGUCCCCAGCACCACAU
RNAcentral lists this transfer RNA (59 nucleotides) under Ictidomys tridecemlineatus (thirteen-lined ground squirrel). RNAcentral describes it as "Spermophilus tridecemlineatus (thirteen-lined ground squirrel) tRNA". Lineage: Eukaryota; Metazoa; Chordata; Mammalia; Rodentia; Sciuridae. The record is from Rfam by way of RNAcentral.